This 504-nucleotide ribosomal RNA is filed under the name Scinax ruber (red snouted treefrog). RNAcentral describes it as "partial 12S small subunit ribosomal RNA". It matches the Rfam family "Bacterial small subunit ribosomal RNA", at positions 777 to 1522 of the family's 1533-position model. Lineage: Eukaryota; Metazoa; Chordata; Amphibia; Anura; Hylidae. The record is from RNAcentral.
AUUAGAUACCCCACUAUGCCUAACCGUAAACUUUAAUUUACAUCAAAAUCGCCAGGGAACUACAAGCAACGCUUAAAACCCAAAGGACUUGACGGUACCCCAUUCCACCUAGAGGAGCCUGUCCUGUAAUCGAUAACCCACGUUAAACCUCACCACUCUUAACUUCAGUCUGUAUAUCGCCGUCGCCAGUUUACCACGUGAGCGAGCCAAGUAAACAAGAGGACUUUCCGCCAAAACGUCAGGUCAAGGUGCAGCAUAUAGAGUGGGAAGAGAUGGGCUACACUCUCUAACCUAGAAAACACGAAUGACUUUAUUGAAACAUUGGUCAGAAGGCGGAUUUAGCAGUAAAAUAAGACAAGAAAACUUAUUUUAACACGGCCCUGGGGUGUGUACACACCGCCCGUCACCCUCUUCGAAAUUCUUUUAAUAGUACAUAACACCCUAUCACCUUAGAGAAGAGGCAAGUCGUAACAUGGUAAGCUUACCGGAAGGUGUGCUUGGAAA